AUGGCCGAAUGCUUCAAUAGGGUGCUCAAAGGUGCACGUGGAUUACCCGUGACGGAAAUAGUUCCAUACACAUUUGAUAAGAUGAACGCGUACUUUCUAAAGUACUCGAUGGAAACUGAUGCACAGAUAGCGGGUGAGAACCCGCGCAAGUACAAGUACAAGUUCCCACCAAAUGUUGAUGAAUGGUUAGAAUUUCAAUCACGAAGGGACUCAGAAGAAGCUAUAUUAUAUGACAACGAAGAGUGGAAGUACGAAGUGAAAGAGCGAGGAGGAACCACAAACGAUGGCCGGCAACAUGGAGGUCGGGCUCUCAAGGUGUCGUUAACACAAUGUGAUUGCUCUUGCGGGAGGCCAUUGUUGCUUCAUCUCCCAUGCUCACACUUGUAUACCGUCGAUCGCGUUAGAAAUGUGGACAUCAAUCACCCACGCAUCAUGAGGGAGUUGGAGUUCUCAAUCAUGACGGUCAAGAAAACAUGGGCUCCCCGCUUUCACCCAUACUUUGACCAAUCACAUUGGCCGGAGUACCAUGGAGUUCAACUGUGGCCGGAUCCG
RNAcentral lists this ribosomal RNA (552 nucleotides) under Triticum aestivum (bread wheat). Its description in RNAcentral is "partial small subunit ribosomal RNA". Lineage: Eukaryota; Viridiplantae; Streptophyta; Magnoliopsida; Poales; Poaceae. The record is from RNAcentral.